This 378-nucleotide unclassified non-coding RNA is filed under the name uncultured Gammaproteobacteria bacterium. RNAcentral's name for it is "contains 16S-23S intergenic spacer region". Lineage: Bacteria; Pseudomonadati; Pseudomonadota; Gammaproteobacteria. The record is from RNAcentral.
UCCGGUUCAUCACCAGCAGUCUCUUUAGAGUCCCCACCAUGACGUGAUGGCAACUAAAGAUAAGGGUUGCGCUCGUUACGGGACUUAACCCAACAUCUCACAACACGAGCUGACGACAGCCAUGCAGCACCUGUCUCUAGGUUCCUUUCGGCACUCCUACAUCUCUGUAAGAUUCCUAGGAUGUCAAGGGUAGGUAAGGUUCUUCGCGUUGCAUCGAAUUAAACCACAUGCUCCACCGCUUGUGCGGGCCCCCGUCAAUUCCUUUGAGUUUUAACCUUGCGGUCGUACUCCCCAGGCGGAAAACUUAUCGCGUUAGCUUCGAUACUAAGCAGUCAUGCUGCCCAACAUCUAGUUUUCAUCGUUUACAGCGUGGACUAC